Molecule: ribosomal RNA, 497 nt
Filed under: uncultured bacterium
Lineage: Bacteria
Description: partial 16S ribosomal RNA
Rfam family: Bacterial small subunit ribosomal RNA
Source: RNAcentral
GAUGAACGCUGGCGGCGUGCCUAAUACAUGCAAGUCGAGCGAACGGACGAGAAGCUUGCUUUUCUGAUGUUAGCGGCGGACGGGUGAGUAACACGUGGAUAACCUACCUAUAAGACUGGGAUAACUUCGGGAAACCGGAGCUAAUACCGGAUAAUAUUUUGAACCGCAUGGUUCAAAAGUGUAAGACGGUCUUGCUGUCACUUAUAGAUGGAUCCGCGCUGCAUUAGCUAGUUGGUAAGGUAACGGCUUACCAAGGCAACGAUGCAUAGCCGACCUGAGAGAGUGAUCGGCCACACUGGAACUGAGACACGGUCCAGACUCCUACGGGAGGCAGCAGUAGGGAAUCUUCCGCAAUGGGCGAAAGCCUGACGGAGCAACGCCGCGUGGGUGAUGAAGGUCUUCGGAUCGUAAAACUCUGUUAUUAGGGAAGAACAUAUGUGUAAGUAACUGUGCACAUCUUGACGGUACCUAAUCAGAAAGCCACGGCUAACUACGUG